AGCUUUUCGGAUUGUGUUGAGAUUUCAUCAGAAACCAACCCAUUAUGGCUGAUCAGACUUUCAAGAUAAGUAAAGUU
Molecule: non-coding RNA, 77 nt
Organism: Schistosoma haematobium
Lineage: Eukaryota; Metazoa; Platyhelminthes; Trematoda; Strigeidida; Schistosomatidae
Source: Rfam